This 72-nucleotide transfer RNA is filed under the name Rhizaria sp. Its description in RNAcentral is "tRNA-Met". It matches the Rfam family "tRNA". Rfam says of the family: Transfer RNA (tRNA) molecules are approximately 80 nucleotides in length. Their secondary structure includes four short double-helical elements and three loops (D, anti-codon, and T loops). Further hydrogen bonds mediate the characteristic L-shaped molecular structure. tRNAs have two regions of fundamental functional importance: the anti-codon, which is responsible for specific mRNA codon recognition, and the 3' end, to which the tRNAs corresponding amino acid is attached (by aminoacyl-tRNA synthetases). tRNAs cope with the degeneracy of the genetic code in two manners: having more than one tRNA (with a specific anti-codon) for a particular amino acid; and 'wobble' base-pairing, i.e. permitting non-standard base-pairing at the 3rd anti-codon position. The record is from RNAcentral.
AACAGAUAAGUAUUAUUGGUUGUACAUUGGGUUCAUAAUCCAAAAGUGUUGGUUCAAUUCCAACAUCUGUUU